Molecule: ribosomal RNA, 451 nt
Filed under: uncultured bacterium
Lineage: Bacteria
Description: bacterial SSU rRNA
Rfam family: Bacterial small subunit ribosomal RNA
Source: RNAcentral
CCCAGACUCCUACGGGAGGCAGCAGUGGGGAAUAUUGGGCAAUGGGCGCAAGCCUGACCCAGCAACGCCGCGUGAAGGAAGAAGGCUUUCGGGUUGUAAACUUCUUUUAUUCGGGACGAAGAAAGUGACGGUACCGAAUGAAUAAGCCACGGCUAACUACGUGCCAGCAGCCGCGGUAAUACGUAGGUGGCAAGCGUUAUCCGGAUUUAUUGGGUGUAAAGGGCGUGUAGGCGGGAAUGCAAGUCAGAUGUGAAAACUCAGGGCUCAACCCUGAGCCUGCAUUUGAAACUGUAUUUCUUGAGUGCUGGAGAGGCAAUCGGAAUUCCGUGUGUAGCGGUGAAAUGCGUAGAUAUACGGAGGAACACCAGUGGCGAAGGCGGAUUGCUGGACAGUAACUGACGCUGAGGCGCGAAAGCGUGGGGAGCGAACAGGAUUAGAUACCCCGGUAUCU